AAACUGUAAGGACUUCAGGAUGGUCUUUUGCUAUACUAAUCCUCUCCAUCAAUUCACACUUUUUGGGAGGAAUCUGUGAGUGGACGUUAGCCAUGCAGUUAGAACAGUAGUAACGGGAGUCCCUGUGGAGCAGACUACUUAAUGAAUUCCCACUGCUUCAUCUCCGAUAGAAGUGCAUCUACCAUCACUAUCACUCCAGUGAAAACAAAGAUGUGUGAAGUUCUGCAGCAGUUCCCAGAAGGGUUAAUUAAAAUAUUUGGUCUAUUUCAUUUCAUGUAAGUUUCAUCCUCUUGAGUUUUAGAUGUAAAUGAACGUAGAAACAGCUCCGUUUCCUUGUGACUUUGAUCUGAGGCCAUCAGUGCCUGUAUGAGUUUCCUAAGAUUUGGCUAGGAGUCAUCUCCAAGUUGACUCAGUCAUGCUCAAGGUUAGUGAACCCAGGUCAAGUUUCAAGACUUCUGUAGUGCUGUUUUCAUGCAGUGGAAGUUGCAAGGAGUUAUCAGUGUUACUGCUGAAUGAAGACAAGUGAUUUCUUUCCACCAUCCUGACACAGAUUUACCCCUUUCCUGUAAGUGACUGUGGCCAGCACAUUCCAAAAGGUGAUUCCGGCAAUUUGAACAGCCACUGGUGACCAUUACCACAUGCCUCUGGACAGCUAGUCAGCACCAGCAGGACACAGGCAAUUACAUCUGCUGUUUUUCAUAGCCAAAUUGUCUUCAGUUUGAAAAUGGAAAAGCAAGAAAUAGCUAGUAGAAAGCUUUUGGAUUUCAUAAGUUUGUUAUAUGAAACCUGUUUACAAUAUCAAGCUACUCAACAAUGUUAUUAUACAGCUCCAUAUUCUUAAGGGACAGGGUUUUCAUUGUUUAGCUCUUAGGUGGUCACCAAACUACGCAGAGAGGCAGAGCACUAUUACUUCUUGAUCUAUUACAAAAAAAGUUGAUAUAAAUAUACAUCUGAAAUAUAUUGGUGGAGGACGGGGGGGAAGCAGCAUGGAUUUUAUCUUUCAUCUGCAUAUUUGCAAUAAAUGCGUCCAGGCCAGUUUUCCUUGUUUACCU
RNAcentral lists this long non-coding RNA (1052 nucleotides) under Anser brachyrhynchus (Pink-footed goose). RNAcentral's name for it is "lncRNA (ENSABRG00000014674.1)". The record is from RNAcentral. Lineage: Eukaryota; Metazoa; Chordata; Aves; Anseriformes; Anatidae.